RNAcentral lists this ribosomal RNA (280 nucleotides) under uncultured Glomus. Its description in RNAcentral is "partial 18S small subunit ribosomal RNA". It matches the Rfam family "Eukaryotic small subunit ribosomal RNA", at positions 591 to 876 of the family's 1831-position model. The record is from RNAcentral. Lineage: Eukaryota; Fungi; Glomeromycota; Glomeromycetes; Glomerales; Glomeraceae.
CCAAUAGCGUAUAUUAAAGUUGCUGCAGUUAAAAAGCUCGUAGUUGAAUUUCGGAACCAAUAUGUUGGUUGUGCCUCGGUACGUACUGGCAUUGUUGGUUUCUCCCUUCUGACGAACUAUGAUGUCAUUAAUUUGGUGUCAUGGGGAAUCAGGACUGUUACUUUGAAAAAAUUAGAGUGUUUAAAGCAGGCUCACGCUUGAAUACAUUAGCAUGGAAUAAUGAAAUAGGACGUUUGAUUCUAUUUUGUUGGUUUCUAGGAUUGACGUAAUGAUUAAUAGG